Molecule: long non-coding RNA, 1307 nt
Filed under: Fukomys damarensis (Damara mole-rat)
Lineage: Eukaryota; Metazoa; Chordata; Mammalia; Rodentia; Bathyergidae
Description: lncRNA (ENSFDAG00000028420.1)
Source: RNAcentral
CUCCCUUUUGAACCUGAGGGCUGGAGUUCCUAAAAACGUCCAGACCAAGUAAGCUUUUACUUGCUCUCCUCCUGAACCAUGCCCUCUGUACCAAGGCUGUUGGAAAAUUCCUAAGAUUUUACCGCAGAGUGCUUUGUGGUCCUGGGAUGCAGGAAGAUUUGAAUGCUGAUUAUUAUCACAAGUUGCACACAGGUUUCACCUUGAUGCACAGGUCUACGGCCAGGGACCACGGUGUCAGCUCACGCAAUGGCGGUCAGUGCAGCCGCUCCUCCAGGAAUCACCCGCACAGUGGACACUGGGUACUGUACAGCAGCAGAUGGCAGCACCAGCACCGGAAGACUGAGGGUGCUCUCUCCCAAGCAUCUGACCAGGCCCAGGCCUGCUACACCAGCUGUUUAUCAGUCCCAUACUUUGCAUCUAUGAAUCUCGUACACCUGUGUCUAAAACGUCCUUGCCCUGAGUUUUGAAACAUUCUAAUUCACAUGGAUGACACUGUAAUUUUAGCCUUUCUCAAGCAAAAGGGGUUGAAAGCUUAGAGAUAAUUUGAAAUUGUCAAAUCAACCUUGCUUCCAAUGCAAGUCACAAUCUAAGCAGAUACAUUAAAAUUGCUUAACCCAUUUACUUCUUUCUGGUAGCAGAUUUGUUUCUCUGGCACAGCCCACACGUAACUGGUCCCCCGGGCGUCAGCAGCACAGCCCUUCCGAGGUCGGCCUCUCCCAAGGUCACUGUCUGUUUGCAGAAGCAGCAGUCGCGUUUCCGUCUGGCUGUGAUGACCCUUACUCUGUUCUGUUCCUCGGCAGACACACAGACUGCUGAGGUCCAAGUUCCUUGCUCCACACUCGGAACUCCAACCUAGCUUUUCUGGCUGGCAACACUGAUCACCUUCUCAUCAAAAGAACAAGCCUUCCUUUCUUUGAAGUUGCAAAUUUCAUGAAGAGCUUUUUGUGUCUUUGGAGGAAACGGAAGAGUGAUCAAACUUUCUUGUGGUAGUUUUAAUUUCUGUCAGUCUGUGUUUGCAGUACAUGACGAAAAUGUUCAUCGUGGGGAUUUGCUCCAUGUCCGUGAUGUCAGAACUGUUUUUUGUUCCCUUCCUUUCCAUUCCCUUCCCCCACCCUUUCAAAACUUCAUAAAAGCAUGAACGUGGUGUUGGUGGUAGUGAGGAAGUAAAUUAGAUCCCCGUUUUGGAGGUAUUGUGCAUAAGGGAAAGAGGGCAUUUAGAAGGCAAUGGAGGAGGGCAAUUACAGUGUUAAGCCUCUGAGUGGAAUUCCCUAGAAUUUAUAUUCAUUUUUUCUGCAGAAUAUGCAAAG